ACUCAAAUGAAUUGACGGGGGCCCGCACAAGCAGCGGAGCGUGUGGUUUAAUUCGAGGCUACACGAAGAACCUUACCUGGGUUUGACAUCAUGGUAGUAGUGAAGCGAAAGCGGAACGACCUUCGGGAGCCAUGACAGGUGCUGCAUGGCUGUCGUCAGCUCGUGUCGUGAGAUGUUCGGUUAAGUCCGAAAACGAGCGCAACCCCCGGGUCUAGUUACAAGUGUCUAGACCGACUGCCCGUGACAAACGGGAGGAAGGUGGGGAUGACGUCAAGUCAGCAUGGCCUUUAUAUCCAGGGCUACACACACGCUACAAUGGCCGGUACAAUAGGUAGCGAAGCGGCGACGCGGAGCCAAUCCACCAAAGCCGGUCGUAGUUCGGAUUGCAGGCUGCAACUCGCCUGCAUGAAGCUGGAGUUGCUAGUAACCGCAGGUCAGCUAUACUGCGGUGAAUACGUUCCCGGGCCUUGCACACACCGCCCGU
This 484-nucleotide ribosomal RNA is filed under the name uncultured bacterium. Its description in RNAcentral is "partial 16S ribosomal RNA". It matches the Rfam family "Bacterial small subunit ribosomal RNA", at positions 899 to 1397 of the family's 1533-position model. The record is from RNAcentral.